RNAcentral lists this ribosomal RNA (927 nucleotides) under Acinetobacter sp. 1PNM-1. Its description in RNAcentral is "bacterial SSU rRNA". It matches the Rfam family "Bacterial small subunit ribosomal RNA", at positions 61 to 982 of the family's 1533-position model. The record is from RNAcentral. Lineage: Bacteria; Pseudomonadati; Pseudomonadota; Gammaproteobacteria; Moraxellales; Moraxellaceae.
GUCGAGCGGGGAAAGGUAGCUUGCUACUUUACCUAGCGGCGGACGGGUGAGUAAUGCUUAGGAAUCUGCCUAUUAGUGGGGGACAACAUCUCGAAAGGGAUGCUAAUACCGCAUACGUCCUACGGGAGAAAGCAGGGGACCUUCGGGCCUUGCGCUAAUAGAUGAGCCUAAGUCGGAUUAGCUAGUUGGUGGGGUAAAGGCCUACCAAGGCGACGAUCUGUAGCGGGUCUGAGAGGAUGAUCCGCCACACUGGGACUGAGACACGGCCCAGACUCCUACGGGAGGCAGCAGUGGGGAAUAUUGGACAAUGGGGGGAACCCUGAUCCAGCCAUGCCGCGUGUGUGAAGAAGGCCUUUUGGUUGUAAAGCACUUUAAGCGAGGAGGAGGCUACCGAGAUUAAUACUCUUGGAUAGUGGACGUUACUCGCAGAAUAAGCACCGGCUAACUCUGUGCCAGCAGCCGCGGUAAUACAGAGGGUGCAAGCGUUAAUCGGAUUUACUGGGCGUAAAGCGCGCGUAGGUGGCCAAUUAAGUCAAAUGUGAAAUCCCCGAGCUUAACUUGGGAAUUGCAUUCGAUACUGGUUGGCUAGAGUAUGGGAGAGGAUGGUAGAAUUCCAGGUGUAGCGGUGAAAUGCGUAGAGAUCUGGAGGAAUACCGAUGGCGAAGGCAGCCAUCUGGCCUAAUACUGACACUGAGGUGCGAAAGCAUGGGGAGCAAACAGGAUUAGAUACCCUGGUAGUCCAUGCCGUAAACGAUGUCUACUAGCCGUUGGGGCCUUUGAGGCUUUAGUGGCGCAGCUAACGCGAUAAGUAGACCGCCUGGGGAGUACGGUCGCAAGACUAAAACUCAAAUGAAUUGACGGGGGCCCGCACAAGCGGUGGAGCAUGUGGUUUAAUUCGAUGCAACGCGAAGAACCUUACCUGGUCUU